AACGCACGAGACCUGCGGACCUGCGGAAGGAUCAUUAAUGAGAAGCUGCCCCUCGUGGGUAGACCUCCCACCCUCUGUGAACUUACCUUUGUUGCUUUGGCAGGCCCGUCCUCUGGACCGCCGGCUUCGGCUGGCCCGUGCCUGCCAGAGGAUUCCAAACCCUGUCUGUCAGUGUUGCCUGAGUCUAUAUGAAAUCGUUAAAACUUUCAGCAAUGGAUCUCUAGAUCGGAAGAGCACACG
This 240-nucleotide unclassified non-coding RNA is filed under the name soil metagenome. Its description in RNAcentral is "partial contains 5.8S ribosomal RNA, internal transcribed spacer 2, and large subunit ribosomal RNA". The record is from RNAcentral.